This 509-nucleotide ribosomal RNA is filed under the name uncultured bacterium. Its description in RNAcentral is "partial 16S ribosomal RNA". It matches the Rfam family "Bacterial small subunit ribosomal RNA", at positions 29 to 507 of the family's 1533-position model. The record is from RNAcentral.
ACGAACGCUGGCGGCGUGCUUAACACAUGCAAGUCGAACGAAGAGCGAUGGAAGCUUGCUUCUAUCAAUCUUAGUGGCGAACGGGUGAGUAACGCGUAAUCAACCUGCCCUUCAGAGGGGGACAACAGUUGGAAACGACUGCUAAUACCGCAUACGAUCUAAUCUCGGCAUCGAGGAUAGAUGAAAGGUGGCCUCUACAUGUAAGCUAUCACUGAAGGAGGGGAUUGCGUCUGAUUAGCUAGUUGGAGGGGUAACGGCCCACCAAGGCGAUGAUCAGUAGCCGGUCUGAGAGGAUGAACGGCCACAUUUGGACUGAGACACGGCCCAGACUCCUACGGGAGGCAGCAGUGGGGAAUCUUCCGCAAUGGACGAAAGUCUGACGGAGCAACGCCGCGUGAGUGAUGACGGCCUUCGGGUUGUAAAGCUCUGUUAAUCGGGACGAAAGGCCUUCUUGCGAAUAGUGAGAAGGAUUGACGGUACCGGAAGAGAAAGCCACGGCUAACUACGUG